This 1648-nucleotide long non-coding RNA is filed under the name Equus caballus (horse). Its description in RNAcentral is "lncRNA (ENSECAG00000045197.1)". Lineage: Eukaryota; Metazoa; Chordata; Mammalia; Perissodactyla; Equidae. The record is from RNAcentral.
GUUGAAUCACUCUAACGGCUGACAGGGAGCUUUACGGACAUGGAUAAGGCUCAGAGAAGACAAGACUGGCAGCCUUCUCUCAGGAUGAGCUGGCUACUGGUUUUGGUUUUGGCUUCUGAGAGAUUUCGUGUUCCCUGGAGAUUGGUUCCAGACCAGGGAAAUCAAACUGCUCUCUGGCACCAUACCAUCUCACGUCAUCACAAGAAGAAGAAGGGUGAGGACAGCACAGUAAGAUACUUGGAGAGAGAGAGACAACACAUUCACGUGAGAAGAACCCAAAGGACUCCCAGAAUGUAGCAGAUAUGGAGCAAGAGGAAAGCAGGUCAAAUCCUUGAGCCUUGGAGCAUGAAAGAGAGAAGGAAAAGAGGGCAGUUCUGGGCCUGAGCAAAGGAAGGGCCACGUGGGAUUUCCCAGAAAGUUUGAAUCCAAGAAGCCUUCUCAGAAGACGUGAAUCUGAGCAGAGCUGAAAAUGGCUCGUGCAAAGACUGUGGAGGCAGGGGGGGCGGUAAUUCUAGGCUGAUGCAAGCAGGCACCAGAAGCAAAUUUUCGGAGGCUGAGCCCUGGCUGGAGUCUCCCCAGCCCUGCUUUGAAUGGGGUGUCCAGCCUGAGGAGACAAAAGUUAACUGUGGGAUCAUCAUUACGAUGCUUCGGUCUCCAGAUGCCAGGAACUAUCCAGGCUGCGGGAGGGACAGGCCACCAUUUCUUUUCCAAGGACCGUCACAGCCUGGCUGCUCCCCUGCCACAGACUCUGUGACUUGGCCCUUGGGAAUUCGCCUGGCAGUCUCUAAACUGCCCAGCAGGUUGGACCAUUGAGUAUGAAGAAAUCUCAUGUUAAUGACCUUGAGUGAAAGUGUCCAGGUCUUCGCCAGCCUCCCUUAGCCUCUGAUGUCAUCUCCUUCCUCCCCAUUUGUGCCCCACAGCGCACCAACUCUGGGUGGGAUGGUCCUGAGCCUCAUUGUAAGAGUUUCUCUAAUUAGCUGUGAAAGGCCCAUGGGCAUCUGAAGCCCCAGUUUGGACUUGUCCCUGCCCAUCUACAAUACUAGGAUGCUGCUCUCUCCACAGCCACAGAGAGAGGCAACACUGGGCCCACAGUGACUCAAAACAAGGAAAACAGAAGUCAAACGCUAUUGCAGAGAACAUCCCACUGCCCCCCACAUCCCAGCCCCACCCCACCCCACCCGGGGCUCCCUGGAGGUGCCAGUCAGCAUUCCCCCUCUCUGCACUUCCACUGCCCCCACUCAACAAAUCCCACUAUGUUCCUGCUCCAUGCGAGACGGGCAUGGCUGCCAGUUUGCUGCAAACCUUCCACGAUGGUUAAUUUCAUGUGCCAAGUUGGCUGGACCUUGGAACCCAGAUAUUUGGCCAAGCACCAAUCUAGAUGUUGUUGUGAAGGUGCUUUUUAGAUGAGAUUAAUAUUUAAACCAGUAGACUUUGAGUAAAGCACAUUACCCUCUAUAAUGUGGGUGGGCCUCAUCCAAUCAGUUGAAGGCCUUAGAGAAAAUAGACUGAGCACCCCAGAGGAAGAAGAAAUUCUGCCAGCAGAUGGCCUUCGAACUUGAGCUGUAAAUCAACUCUUCCCUGAGUAUCCAGCCUGUCAACCUACCCUGCUGAUUUUGGACUUGCAGCCUCUACAAUUGCAUGAGCCAAU